RNAcentral lists this unclassified non-coding RNA (285 nucleotides) under plant metagenome. RNAcentral's name for it is "partial contains small subunit ribosomal RNA, internal transcribed spacer 1, and 5.8S ribosomal RNA". The stretch from base 1 to 54 matches the Rfam family "Eukaryotic small subunit ribosomal RNA", at positions 1778 to 1831 of the family's 1831-position model. The record is from RNAcentral.
GAAAGUAAAAGUCGUAACAAGGUUUCCGUAGGUGAACCUGCGGAAGGAUCAUUAUUGUGUAACCGAGGUGCGAGGGCUGUCGCUGACCCGAAAGGUCGUGCACGCCCGAGUGCCCUCACACACAUCCAUCUCACCCCUAUGUGCACCACCGCGUGGGUCCCCCUUUGGCUUGUUCGGAGGGGGGCUUACGUUUUCACACAAACUUUGUAUGCAGUGUAGAAUGUAUUUUUUGUUUUUGCGAUCACGCAAUCAAUACAACUUUCAACAACGGAUCUCUUGGCUCUC